Molecule: long non-coding RNA, 5114 nt
Organism: Colossoma macropomum (tambaqui)
Lineage: Eukaryota; Metazoa; Chordata; Actinopteri; Characiformes; Serrasalmidae
Exons: 3
Source: RefSeq, a predicted model, not a curated record
UCAGUACUUCAUGAUGCCCACAGUUCAAUACCAGCUGACGUUUCACCGUCCAGUAAGGAAACAGGUGGGCAAAAGUUUAGGCCAUAGAAAAUUCCUAUGUACUGUUUAUCAUUGUUAGGCAUGCUUUUCACAUGAAUCCCCUCUAAACGGACCUAGCGAGUCACAGAACGAUUUGUCAUAUUGUUAUAGAGAGGAAAAUAAGCCACACGAUCCCUUUCAUGUCGACGAGGUGGCCGAGAGGUUAAGGCGAUGGACUGCUAAUCCAUUGUGCUCUGCACGCGUGGGUUCGAAUCCCACCUUCGUCGAACAGGCUUUCUUUAGUCAUCAAAUUAAAUGUUGAUCUCAGGUCGAUAUUGCAAUGCUUUCUCUGAGAUGGUAUCACCAUUCUCCAUCACACCUACUUAAAAGAAAAGACUUUCUCUAUGGCAAACGACCCCUAACAACUUUUACGAGUUGGCCAAAAGUUUUAGCAGAAGAUCCCUUCUUCGUUGAAAAGGCUGUCUUUAGUCAUCAAAGUAAAGUUGAACCAUGGUCUGCUCCUGAGGUCAAAGGUGUUAUUCUUGUGCUGAGAUGAUAUUGCAAUUCUCCAUGAAACCUAUCCAAAAGAAGAAAUUUCUAUAUGGCAAACGACACACUAUGCCUUUUCCCAAUUGACUGAACGGUUAGAGGGAUGGACUGUUAACCUGUUGAGCUCCGCACACAUGGGAUUGAAUCCCAUCAUUGUCAAAAAGGCUAUAUUUAGUCACCAAACUAAUGUUGUACCUUGAUCUGCUCCCGAGGUCAAAGGUUCAAUUUCUGUUCUGAGAUGAUAGUUCAAUUCUCCAUGAAACCUACGUAAAAGAAAAAAAUUCAACACGGCAAAAAACUCCUAAUUCUUUUUCCGAGCUGGACGAAAGGUUAGGGAGGUGGACUUCUAAUCCGUUGUGCUCUGGAUGCAUGGGAUCCAAACCCAGCUUCGUCUACGAGGACAUCUUUAAAUAUCACACAAUUGUUGAAGACUGAUGUGCUCUUGAAGUCAAGUGUGCAUUACUGGAUCUCAGUUGCUAUUUCAAUAUUUCAGGACGCCACCUUAUUUAGUGUAAAAAGUUUGGCCGACAUUUCAGUACCAAAUGACACUUCACUGUCCAGUAAAUAAACAGGGCGUCAAAAACGUAGGGCGUCGAAGGUUCCAAUGUACUGUUUGACAUUUGUAGACAUGUGUUUGACAUGAAUCUCUGUUAAACAAACAUAGUUAGCUCUAGAAAGAUUUAUUUUAUUAUCACAGAAAAGUACAAGUGCAGUGCUUGUUCUGAGAUGCUAUGGCAGUACUCCAUGACACGCACUCUACAUAUUGUUAAAAAUAUAUGAAUGACAUUUUAAUGUGUAGUACAGAAACAGGUGGGCAAAAAUUUAGGCCAUAGAAAGUUGCAGUGUACUGUUUCUAAAGGUUAGACAUGUGUUUGCCAUUCAGCCCUCUUAAAUGGACAUAGUUAGCGCUAGAACGCUUAGAUUUGUUCUUAUAGCGAGGAACACGCACCUCUGCUCCCUCGUGUGGACGAGGUGGCCGAGUGGUUAAGGCGAUGGACUGCUAAUCCAUUGUGCUCUGCACGCGUGGGUUCGAAUCCCACCUUCGUCGGAAAGAGCUUCUUUAGUCAUCAAACUAACAGUGAACGUUGACCUCCGGUCAAAAGUGCAAUGUUUGCUCUGAGGUGCUCUUUCCAUUCUACCUGACACUGAUUUGAAAGAAAGAAUUUCUCUACGGCAAACGACAACCAAGACUUCCUCCGAUUUGGCCGAAAGGUCAGGGAGGUGGACUGCGAAUCUGCUUUGCUCUGGAUGUGUGAGAUCCAAUCCUAACUUCAACAACAAAGGCUGUCUUCAAACAUGACACAACUGUUGUACACUGAUGUGCACUUGAGGUCAGACCCGCAAUACCCUUUCUAACAUGCUAUUUCAGUACUUCAUGACGCCCACAGUUCAAUACCAGCUGACGUUUCACCGUCCAGUAAGGAAACAGGUGGGCAAAAGUUUAGGCCAUAGAAAAUUCCUAUGUACUGUUUAUCAUUGUUAGGCAUGCUUUUCACAUGAAUCCCCUCUAAACGGACCUAGCGAGUCACAGAACGAUUUGUCAUAUUGUUAUAGAGAGGAAAAUAAGCCACACGAUCCCUUUCAUGUCGACGAGGUGGCCGAGUGGUUAAGGCGAUGGACUGCUAAUCCAUUGUGCUCUGCACGCGUGGGUUCGAAUCCCACCUUCGUCGGAAAGAGCUUCUUUAGUCAUCAAACUAACAGUGAACGUUGACCUCCGGUCAAAAGUGCAAUGUUUGCUCUGAGGUGCUCUUUCCAUUCUACCUGACACUGAUUUGAAAGAAAGAAUUUCUCUACGGCAAACGACAACCAAGACUUCCUCCGAUUUGGCCGAAAGGUCAGGGAGGUGGACUGCGAAUCUGCUUUGCUCUGGAUGCGUGAGAUCCAAUCCUAACUUCAACAACAAAGGCUGUCUUCAAACAUGACACAACUGAUGUGCACUUGAGGUCAGACCCGCAAUACCCUUUCUAACAUGCUAUUUCAGUACUUCAUGACGCCCACAGUUCAAUACCAGCUGACGUUUCACCGUCCAGUAAGGAAACAGGUGGGCAAAAGUUUAGGCCAUAGAAAAUUCCUAUGUACUGUUUAUCAUUGUUAGGCAUGCUUUUCACAUGAAUCCCCUCUAAACGGACCUAGCGAGUCACAGAACGAUUUGUCAUAUUGUUAUAGAGAGGAAAAUAAGCCACACGAUCCCUUUCAUGUCGACGAGGUGGCCGAGUGGUUAAGGCGAUGGACUGCUAAUCCAUUGUGCUCUGCACGCGUGGGUUCGAAUCCCACCUUCGUCGGAAAGAGCUUCUUUAGUCAUCAAACUAACAGUGAACGUUGACCUCCGGUCAAAAGUGCAAUGUUUGCUCUGAGGUGCUCUUUCCAUUCUACCUGACACUGAUUUGAAAGAAAGAAUUUCUCUACGGCAAACGACAACCAAGACUUCCUCCGAUUUGGCCGAAAGGUCAGGGAGGUGGACUGCGAAUCUGCUUUGCUCUGGAUGCGUGAGAUCCAAUCCUAACUUCAACAACAAAGGCUGUCUUCAAACAUGACACAACUGUUGUACACUGAUGUGCACUUGAGGUCAGACCCGCAAUACCCUUUCUAACAUGCUAUUUCAGUACUUCAUGACGCCCACAGUUCAAUACCAGCUGACGUUUCACCGUCCAGUAAGGAAACAGGUGGGCAAAAGUUUAGGCCAUAGAAAAUUCCUAUGUACUGUUUAUCAUUGUUAGGCAUGCUUUUCACAUGAAUCCCCUCUAAACGGACCUAGCGAGUCACAGAACGAUUUGUCAUAUUGUUAUAGAGAGGAAAAUAAGCCACACGAUCCCUUUCAUGUCGACGAGGUGGCCGAGAGGUUAAGGCGAUGGACUGCUAAUCCAUUGUGCUCUGCACGCGUGGGUUCGAAUCCCACCUUCGUCGAACAGGCUUUCUUUAGUCAUCAAAUUAAAUGUUGAUCUCAGGUCGAUAUUGCAAUGCUUUCUCUGAGAUGGUAUCACAAUUCUCCAUCACACCUACUUAAAAGAAAAAACUUUCUCUAUGGCAAACGACCCCUAACAACUUUUACGAGUUGGCCAAAAGUUUUAGCAGAAGAUCCCUUCUUCGUUGAAAAGGCUGUCUUUAGUCAUCAAAGUAAAGUUGAACCAUGGUCUGCUCCUGAGGUCAAAGGUGUUAUUCUUGUGCUGAGAUGAUAUUGCAAUUCUCCAUGAAACCUAUCCAAAAGAAGAAAUUUCUAUAUGGCAAACGACACACUAUGCCUUUUCCCAAUUGACUGAACGGUUAGAGGGAUGGACUGUUAACCUGUUGAGCUCCGCACACAUGGGAUUGAAUCCCAUCAUUGUCAAAAAGGCUAUAUUUAGUCACCAAACUAAUGUUGUACCUUGAUCUGCUCCCGAGGUCAAAGGUUCAAUUUCUGUUCUGAGAUGAUAGUUCAAUUCUCCAUGAAACCUACGUAAAAGAAAAAAAUUCAACACGGCAAAAAACUCCUAAUUCUUUUUCCGAGCUGGACGAAAGUUUAGGGAGGUGGACUUCUAAUCCGUUGUGCUCUGGAUGCAUGGGAUCCAAACCCAGCUUCGUCUACGAGGACAUCUUUAAAUAUCACACAAUUGUUGAAGACUGAUGUGCUCUUGAAGUCAAGUGUGCAUUACUGGAUCUCAGUUGCUAUUUCAAUAUUUCAGGACGCCACCUUAUUUAGUGUAAAAAGUUUGGCCGACAUUUCAGUACCAAAUGACACUUCACUGUCCAGUAAAUAAACAGGGCGUCAAAAACGUAGGGCGUCGAAGGUUCCAAUGUACUGUUUGACAUUUGUAGACAUGUGUUUGACAUGAAUCUCUGUUAAACAAACAUAGUUAGCUCUAGAAAGAUUUAUUUUAUUAUCACAGAAAAGUACAAGUGCAGUGCUUGUUCUGAGAUGCUAUGGCAGUACUCCAUGACACGCACUCUACAUAUUGUUAAAAAUAUAUGAAUGACAUUUUAAUGUGUAGUACAGAAACAGGUGGGCAAAAAUUUAGGCCAUAGAAAGUUGCAGUGUACUGUUUCUAAAGGUUAGACAUGUGUUUGCCAUUCAGCCCUCUUAAAUGGACAUAGUUAGCGCUAGAACGCUUAGAUUUGUUCUUAUAGCGAGGAACACGCACCUCUGCUCCCUCGUGUGGACGAGGUGGCCGAGUGGUUAAGGCGAUGGACUGCUAAUCCAUUGUGCUCUGCACGCGUGGGUUCGAAUCCCACCUUCGUCGGAAAGAGCUUCUUUAGUCAUCAAACUAACAGUGAACGUUGACCUCCGGUCAAAAGUGCAAUGUUUGCUCUGAGGUGCUCUUUCCAUUCUACCUGACACUGAUUUGAAAGAAAGAAUUUCUCUACGGCAAACGACAACCAAGACUUCCUCCGAUUUGGCCGAAAGGUCAGGGAGGUGGACUGCGAAUCUGCUUUGCUCUGGAUGCGUGAGAUCCAAUCCUAACUUCAACAACAAAGGCUGUCUUCAAACAUGACACAACUGUUGUACACUGAUGUGCACUUGAGGUCAGACCCGCAAUACCCUUUCUAACAUGCUAUUUCAGUACUUCAUGACG